RNAcentral lists this long non-coding RNA (2989 nucleotides) under Piliocolobus tephrosceles (Ugandan red Colobus). RNAcentral describes it as "lncRNA (ENSPTEG00000006537.1)". Lineage: Eukaryota; Metazoa; Chordata; Mammalia; Primates; Cercopithecidae. The record is from RNAcentral.
CAUGGUGUGCCCUCCUGAGUCACAACAGCUUGGCCACGGGACUUGCUUUGGCUAUUGGGAUGUUCAUGGAGCCAACAGAGGCUUGCAAGGGGCUUGUGUGUUAAGCUUUCAUCUCUGGAGCCCCUUCUUCUGCCAUGAGAAGGACAUACCUGGCUGGCCUGCUAGAGGAAAAGAGACUUGGGGAGUAGAGGUGAGUAAUUCUCAUUGUCUCAGUCAAGGUCAACCCGGAUCCUCCAGUAGCUAUCCCCAGACAAAUUAUUGAGUCCAGCAGGGUUCUAGGCAGUCCACAGAGCUGCCUAGCCACUGGACGCUUUGCUGACCAUCAUUGUGGUUUGAGGAAUGCUUGUAAUGCACAUUAUGUGGCAAUGGAUAACCUAUCCUCAAAGGACUUCCAAUCUGGUGAGAGACAAAAGUUUACACAUAACCAUAAUUACUACAACAACUACCACUGGUGGGUAACAUUUAUUCAAUGCUUAUUUAUUUUGCUCCAGGUCCUAUAUUCAAUGCUUCACUGUCAUUUAAUCUGUGCAAUAAUGCUUAUCCUCAGUUCACAGAUGAGGAAACUGAGUCUCAAAGAGAUGCAGUGACUUGCCCAAGGUCACACAGCUAAGCAAGGGGGAAGUUGUUAUUUUGAUCCAGGUCUGUUUGACUUCAAAGCCCAUGAGUGAGGCCAUUAUGCUUUCCUGCAAGUCUAAAUGUUUUAGUAGCUACAGGAGGAUCUCAAUGUAUUAUUUUUUUAAACAGGCAAAUCAGGUUGCUAGAAGGGGCAGCAUUUGAUCUGGGACUUAAAGUGGCUUUGGUCAGGAUUCCACGCAAUGAGGUGGGCAUGAAGGAGUGCUUAUGUGAAUAUUUUUAUUCUGCAAACAGAUCAAGGUAUUUGGCACCUGCUGGAAAGUUCUCCACAUCCAGUGAUUGGCUGCAUUUGGUGGACACAGGAACUCAUCACUAUAUGAACUUUAAAGGGAUACAGCUUGUGAAAAAUUCCUCUGAUAAAAGUCAAGGCUACUUCAAGGGCUGGGUACUGUGGAGAGAUGUACCUCUGUGCCCUUCCUUCAGGAAGUGGUCUGUCUACGGAUGUGAGGCUCCAGGUUAGUGUUGUAUUGGAUGGUUGUAUAACGUGCUGCUUCGGGGUCCAAAUAGCCACUCUUCCUCUCUUCCCUGCAUAGUUUCUACUCCCACCAGAGAUGGUUUUGAACGAGCACUCAUAUCUUGCCUGCUAGAACUGUGGAAUUUCAGACUUUCUAGAAAAAAACAAAGUAUUUAUUUCAGUAGCUCUUCUCAUUCCCUGACCAAUGAACCAACAUAGCCAUUCUGCUGCUGGUUCUGGAGACAAUUACCAUUAGCAGCAUCCAUGUUCUUGACAGCCUACUCCACUAUCACAGUAAGUUGAGACAAAACACAUCAGGAUGCUUUUGACUGCAAGCGGAAGAAACCUAACUUGAACUGGCGUCAGCAAAGAUGGAGAUGUCUUGAAGGUCCAAGGAACCAUGUUGGGUCCAGGACUUACGACUCAGCCUCAAUUCCCUGCUUCUACUUUCUACUGAUUUCUCUGUGUUGGCACCAUUCCCAGAGAGACUUUUCACCUCAUGAUAACAAGUACUGCUGGCACCCACAAGCUUCCAUCUGAUUUUCUCAGCAGCUCCCCAGAAAAACAGAAGAGCCUCUUUUCAAAGUCCCAGAACUGAAUUUCCGGGGUCCGGAGCAGCCAGGCUUGGCUCACGGGCCUAUCUCUGGACAAAUCACUAUAUUGAAAGUUGUAUUAAUUUCUUAUUGCUGCUGCAACAAAUCAUCAUGAACUUAGUGGUUUAAAACAAUACCAACUGAUUAUCUUAUAGUUCUGGAGGUCAGAAGUCUAAAAACAGGUUGGAAGGGCUAUGUGCCUUCUGGAGACUGAAGGAAAGAAUUCAUUCCCUUUCCUUUUCCAUUUUCUAGACACUACUUGCGUUCCUCAGCUCAAAGCCUUGUACCACUCCAACUUCUGUUUCCAUAGUCACAGCUUCUCUGACUCUGACCCUCCCCCACCCUUUUAUAAGAACAUUUUUAAAAAUUACAUUGCCCACCGCCCACCACCCCCAAUAAUCCAGGAUCAUUUCCCAUCUCAGUGUCUUUAAUCACACGCUCAAAAUCCCUUUUGCCGUGUUAGUUGACACAUUCACAGGUUCUGAGGAUUAGGACAUGGACAUCUUUGAGGGUACCAAUAUUCUUCCUACCUCAAAGAUGAUGUGGUGGUCUGAUUAGUUAGUCCAUAGUCACAAGCCUGGAACUGGAGCAUCCCCUGAAACCAUGUGGACAGACAUGGGGAAGGGUGGUUCCCCAGGGGAAGAUGUGGUCCAUUAUCAGACCUGGAGGGAUGGGAUGCUGGCAGGGCAACAACAGCAAAUGUCCACGGCAGAAAACACAUGAAAAAACUUCAGGACUCUCUUGAACAAUUUUUGUUCCUUUUGGGAUCACCUGAUUUCUUUUAGGCUUUGAGCACAUUUUAUUGACAGCACUAAAGUUCAGAAUGCAUUGUGAUCAUUUUAUUUCACUGGGAAUAUUAUACACAGUGUAUAUCAUUUGUAAAGCAAGGGAUUUGGAACCUGGCACUUCCUCCAGUGCAUUGUAGAAUGAACCACAUGCCAAUGAGGGGAGAUACAGUUAAGAGUUGGACAACACGGAAAAGCGCUUAAUUACUUGGUUUCUGAGUAAGUCCAGAGUUCCUGCUGCUGCGGGUGGGUGGGGAGAAGAAAUUCCAGCAUGAUGGAAAACUACAUAAUGUAUUAUGUUACUCUCCCUUAAAUCCCUUAAAUUAAAGGAAAAACAAUCUUCAAAGAAUCAUAAAGCACAUAGAGAGACAACUGGAGGGGAUGCUUAUCUGAGAUAAAUUGCAAUAUUCUUAACGGUUGGGUUUCGAAUCAAAAUGUAAGUGGUAAGGUCUCAAAGUAAUAGUCACACAUCUGCUGACUUGGAAAAGUUUGAGGGAAAAUAAACACAAUGACCAAGCCGUGCA